AGGAGACAUAGCCACAGCGUGGAGACCCACAGCGGUCGUGGAGAGAAGUCAGGCUGCGUGUGCCGUUGGCCCUCACCGAGACAUUUGCAGAGAAUACUCCUCUCUCCUCUUUGGUGUCUAGGCCUCUGCAGUUUUCCUGUAGGUUCUCUUUCGUUACAGUAAACAUGAGCUCCAAAGGUCACCUCCCUAACUCUUAACACAUUGUCCCUUCCUGUUUCAGGCCUUGAAUAUUAUUAGGAAAUUCCUUAGAACCUUUCUUCCUGACAGAGUGCGUCUCCAAAUCGCACAGGAUGGAAGAGAUCAUGAUGUAGACCAGAAGACACAAUCUCACAUUGGCGGGACCGCUCACCUUUCUGUGGUCUCACCUGUUCAUUCCGAAGGCAGGAGCAGGGUUCCUAUCAGUGGCUUCAGCUUUCUUCAAUGCUUGCUGUCUAAGUAGCUUACAUCCUUCCAGACAAAAUUCCAUGACUACUUCAUGGACCUGUCAAAGAAUCCUCCCAGGUGUGGAAAGGGAAAUUAUUCAACACUGGUGGAAAGAGUCAAUGACAUCAGAAAAGGUGAGGAAGGCAGCAAAAGAGAUUGGAGAGAUUCUAAUCAGAAAUUCUAAGCUCAGGAAGGCUCCAACACACUACUACUGG
Long non-coding RNA from Ochotona princeps (American pika), 638 nucleotides. RefSeq lists it as uncharacterized. NCBI's taxonomy places the organism in Eukaryota, Metazoa, Chordata, Mammalia, Lagomorpha, Ochotonidae. The transcript is spliced from 3 exons. The record is from RefSeq and is a predicted model, not a curated record.